UGUUUUUUGUUUUUUGUUUUGUUUCAGAAUAAAUAAUCCAUCUAGAUUCUGUUUAGAUGUGGUUUUAUCUUUUAAUUAGUGUUUGUGCCAAGUUAAACCUAUUAGAUCUUCUUGGAAGAUAGUUAUUUGAUCUUGCUGUAAUUUCCAGAAUCUUUGCGCUCAGUGCCCGAAUUGUCAAAAAUCACCAGAAUGUGAUAAAAUAGUGAUUCUGGUUGCUUCUGAUCAAUAAACAAAUUUCCCAGGUCGUCUAAUUUUGGUAGAACUUUUUGGGUUCCAGAAGUUUGCGUUAGUAACAGAUUACUACAGACUGUUCUGUUUUUGACAGAUUCUGUUUUGCGUGUGUUGUUUGCUUAUUUUGAUGAAUCUAUGGCUAGUAAAAUAGUUUAUAAACCAUAGAUAAGUUGGAAUACAGUAGGUUUAACACCAAUAAAAAUAAAGAACAAGUUCACUACAGUACCUUAAAGUAGUCUUUUGUUUUCUUUCUCUAACGGAGCUCAGGAGAUUUCUAUUGAGUUUUGUGUUGUGAAGUUUUCAAGUUUUGGGUGAAUUCUUUUGAUGGAUUAUGGAACAAGGAGUGGCAAGAGCAUAAGCUUGGGGAUGCCCAUGGCACCCCCAAGAUAAUCCAAGGACACCAAAAAGUCAAAGCUUGGGGAUGCCCCGGAAGGCAUCCCCUCUUUCGUCCACUUCCAUCGGUAAUUUACUUGGAGCUAUAUUUUUAUUCACCACAUGAUAUGUGUUUUGCUUGGAGCGUCUUGUAUUAUUUGUGUCUUUGCUUGUUAGUCUACCACAAUCAUCCUUGCUGUACACACCUUUUGAGAGAGCCAUGUAUGAAUUGAAAUUUGUUAGAAUACUCUAUGUGCUUCACUUAUAUCUUUUGAGCUUGAUAGUUUACUCUAUGUGCUUCACUUAUAUCUUUUUGAGCGUGAUAAUUUUUGCUCUAGUGCUUCACUUAGAUCUUUUAGAGCACGGUGGUGGUUUUUUUAAAGAAACUUGAUCUCUCAUGCUUCACUUAGAUUAUUUUGAGAGUCGUUAAUAGCAUGGUAAUUUUCUUAAUGUUAAUAUACUUGGUAUUCAAGAUAUGUGAAACUUUCUUUUUAGUGGGUUGAAUACUAAGAUAAGUUUGAUGCUUGAUAAUUGUUUUGAGAUAUGGAGGUGAUAAUAUCAUAGUCGUGCUAGUUGAGUAGUUGUGAAUUUUAGAAAUACUUGUGUUGAAGUUAGCAAGUCCCGUAGCAUGCACGUAUGGUUAAAGUUGUGUAACAAAUUUGAAGCAUGAAGUGUACCUGGCUUGUGCAUCCUUAUGAGUGGUGGUCGGGGACGAGCGAUGGUCUUUUCCUACCAAUCUAUCCCCCUAGGAGCAUGUGCGUAGUACUUGAUUUUUGAUGACUUCUAAAUUUUUGCAAUAAGUAUAUGAGUUCUUUUGACUAAUGUUGAGUCCAUGGAUUAUACGCACUUUUACCUUUCUGCCAUUUGCUAGCCUCUUUGGUACCGUGCAUUGCCCUUUCUCACAUUGAGAGUUGGUGCAAACUUCGCCGGUGCAUCCAAACCCCGUGAUAUGAUACGCUCUUUCACACAUAAACCUCCCUAUAUCUUCCUCAAAACAGCCACCAUACCUACCUAUCAUGGCAUUUCCAUAGCCAUUCCGAGAUAUAUUGCCAUGCAACUUCCAUCAUCAUCAUCAUCAUGACAUGCUUUACUUUUGUCAUAUUGCCAUUGCAUGAUCUUGUAGUUGACAUCGUAUUUGUGGCAAAGCCACCAUGCAUUAUUUUCAUACAUGUCACUCUUGAUUCAUUGCACCAUCCCGGUACACCGCCGGAGGCAUUCAUAUAGAGUCAUAUCUUGUUCUAGUAUCGAGUUGUAAUCAUUAUGUUGUAAUCAAUAGAAGUGUGAUGAUCAUCAUUAUUAGAGCAUUGCCCAAAUCAAAAAAAAGAGAAGAGAGAGAGAAAGGCCAAAAAUAAAAAAUAAAGGCCCAAAAAAAGAGAAAAUAAAAAGGGGAAUGCUACUGUCUCUUUUUCCACACUUGUGCUUCAAAGUAGCACCAUGAUUUUCAUAUAGUGAGUCUCAUAAGUUGUCUUGUUCAUACUAGUGGGAAUUUUUCAUUAUAGAACUUGGCUUGCAUAUUCCAACGAUGGGCUUCCUCAAAAUGCCCUAGGUCUUCAUGAGCAAGCAAGUUGGAUGCACACCCACUAGUUUUCUUUUGUUGAGCAUUCUUAGCUCUAGUGCGUCUGUUGCAUGGCAAUCCCUACUCCUUGCAUUAACAUCAAUUGAUGGGCAUCUCCAUAGCUCAUUCAUUAGCCUCGUUGAUGUGAGACUUUCUCCUUUUUUGUCUUCUCCACACAAUCCCCAUCAUCAUAUUCUAUACCACCCAUAGUGCUAUGUCCAUGGCUCACGCUCAUGUAUUGCGUGAAGGUUGAAAAAGUUUGAGAUUAUUUGAGUAUGAAACAAUUGCUUGGCAUGUCAUCGGGGGUAUAGAAGUUGGGAACAUCUUUGUGUGACGAAAAUGAAGCAUAGCCUAACUAUAUGAUUUUGUAGGGAUGAACUUCCUUUGGCCAUGUUAUUUUGAGAUGACAUAAUUGUUUGAUUAGUAUGCUUGAAGUAUUAUCAUUUUUAUGUCAAUAUGAACUUUUGUCUUGAACCUUUCGGAUCUGAAUAUUCAUACCAUGAUUAAGAAGAUUUACAUUGAAAUUAUGCCAAAGUAUCACUCCGCAUCAAAAAUUCUCUUUUUAUCAUUUACCUACUUGAGGACGAGCAGGAAUUAAGCUUGGGGAUGACUGAUACGUCUCCAACGUAUCUAUAAUUUUUGAUUGCUCCAUGCUACUUUAUCUACUAUUUUGGACUAUAUUGGGCUUUAUUUUCCACUUUUAUAUUAUUUUUGGGACUAACCUAUUAACUAGAGGCCCAGCCCAGAAUUGCUAUUUUUUGCCUAUUUCAGUAUUUCGAGGAAACAGAAUAUCAAACGGAGUCCAAACGGAAUGAAACCUUCGGGAACGUGAUCUUCUCAUCGAACGUGAUCCAGGAGACUUGGACCCCUACUCCAAGAAGUUUCCGGGGAGGUCACGAGGGUGGAAGGCGCCCCCUGGGUGCGCCCCCUGCCUCGUGGGCCCCUCGGAGCUCCACCGACGUGCUCCUUCCUCCUAUAUAUACCUACGUACCCCCAUUAGACCAGGCGAGCCAAAAAAACCUAAUUCCAUAGCCGCAACUUCCUGUAUCCACGAGAUGCCAUCUUGGGGCCUGUUCCGGAGCUACGCCGAAGAGGGCAUCCAUCACAGAGGGCUUCUACAUCAACACCAUAGCCCUUCCGAUGAAGUGUGAGUAGUUUACUUCAGACCUUCGGGUCCAUAGCUAGUAGCUAGAUGGCUUCUUCUCUCUUUUUGGAUCUCAAUACAAUGUUCUCCCCCUCUCUCGUGGAGAUCUAUUCGAUGUAAUCUUCUUUUUGCAGUGUGUUUGUUGAGACCGAUGAAUUGUGGGUUUAUGAUCCAACUUAUCUAUGAAUAAUAUUUGAAUCUUCUCUGAAUUCUUUUAUGUAUGAUUGAGUUAUCUUUGCAAGUCUCUUCGAAUUAUCCGUUUGGUUUGGCCAACUAGAUUGGUAGUUCUUGCAAUGGGAGAAGUGUUUAGCUUUGGGUUCAAUCUUGCGGCGUCCUUACUUAGUGACAGAAAGAGUUACAAGGCACGUAUUGUAUUGUUGCCAUCAAGGAUAACAAGAUGGGGUAUUUAUCAUAUUGCAUGAAUUUAUUCCUCUACAUCAUGUCAUCUUGCUUAAGGCGUUACUCUGUUUUUAACUUAAUACUCUAGAUGCAUGCUGGAUAGCGGUCGAUGAGUGGAGUAAUAGUAGUAGAUGCAGGCAGGAGUCGGUCUACUUGUCACGGACGUGAUGCCUAUAUACAUGAUCAUACCUAGAUAACCUCAUAACUAUGCUCAAUUCUAUUAAUUGCUCAACAGUAAUUUGUUCACCCACCGUAGAAUAUCUAUGCUCUUGAGAGAAUCCACUAGUGAAACCUAUGGCCCUCGGGUCUAUUCUCAUCAUAUCAAUCUCCAUUACUUUAUUUUACUUGUUUUGCUUUUACCUUUCACUUUGCAUCUUUAUACCAAAAAUACCAAAAAUAUUAUCUCUAUCAGAUCUCACUCUCGUAAGUGACCUGAAGGGAUUGACAACCCCUAAGCGUUGGUUGCGAGUUGCUACCGUUUUGUGCAGGUACGAGGGACUUGCGCGUGACCUCCUACUGGAUUGAUACCUUGGUUCUCAAAAACUGAGGGAAAUACUUACGCUACUGUGCUGCAUCACCCCCUCCUCUUCGGGGAAAACCAAUGCUAGCUCGAGACAUAGCAGCGCGCCACUAUGCGAGACGAUAAUCAUCACGCCGGAUACAGUAAAAGUAAGCCCAGCCGGACCGGACACAGCCGGCAAGACUCAUUCGAGUUGCGUCACGACAUAGCCCAGUAUAGAGGCGCCGCACACCCCCUAUGCUUCACAGACGAUGUAAUGGAUCAUCAAAUCCCAGAGGGUUUCAAACCCAUAAAUAUAGAAUCAUACGACGGCACAACAGAUCCUGCGGUAUGGAUCGAGGAUUUCCUCCUGCAUAUCCACAUCGCCCGUGGUGAUGAUCUACACGCCAUUAAAUACCUCCCACUCAAGCUCAAAGGACCAGCUCGGCAUUGGCUCAAUAGCUAGCCAGCAGAGUCCAUUGGCUGUUGGGAAGAUCUGGAAGCCGCAUUCCUCGACAACUUUCAGGGCACUUAUGUGCGACCACCAGAUGCCGAUGACUUGAGCCACAUAGUUCAGCAGCCAAAGGAAUCGGCCAGGAAAUUCUGGACACGGUUCCUAACAAAGAAAAAUCAAAUCGUCAACUGUCCGGAUGCAGAGGCCCUAGCAGCUUUCAAGCACAACAUCCGUGACGAAUGGCUCGCCCGGCACCUUGGCCAGGAAAAGCCGAAAUCUAUAGCAGUCCUCACGACACUCAUGACCCGCUUCUGUGCGGGAGAGGACAGCUGGCUGGCUCACAGCAAUAACAUAUCAAAGAACCAUGGUACUUCGGAUACCAAGGACGGCAACGGCAGGUCACGUUGCAACAAAUAUAAGCGCCACAUUAACAGCGACAAUACCGAGGAUACGGUAGUCAAUACUGGAUUCAAAGGCUCUAAACCCGAUCAGCGGAAAAAGCCAUUCAAAAGAAGCACUCCGGGCCCGUCCAGUUUGGACCGUAUACUUGAUCGCUCGUGCCAAAUACACGGCACCCCCGACAAGCCAGCAAACCACACCAACAGGGAUUGUUGGGUGUUCAAGUAGGUCGGCAAGUUAAUGCCGAAAACAAAGAUAAGGGGUCACAUAGCAAUGACGAGGAGGAGCCCCGGCAGACGAACACCAGAGGACAGAAGAGGUUCACCCCACAAGUGUGGACGGUGAACAUGAUAUACGCAACCCACAUCCCCAAGAGGGAGCGGAAGCGUGCGCUCAGGGACGUAUAUGCGUUGGAGCCAGUCGCCCCAAAGUUCAACUCAUGGUCCUCCUAACCGAUCACCUUCGAUCGCAGGGACCACCCCACUAGUAUCCGUCAUGGCGGAUUCGCCGCACUGGUCCUAGACACAAUCAUUGACGGAUUUCACCUCACUCGAGUCCUAAUGGACGGCGGCAGCAGCCUGAACCUGCUUUAUCAGGACACUGUGCGCAAAAUGGGUAUAGACCCCUCAAGGAUCAAACCCACAAAAACGACCUUUAAAGGUGUCAUACCAGGUGUAGAGGCCCAUUGCAUAGGCUCAAUCACACUGGAAGUGGUCUUCGGAUCCCCGGAUAACUUCCGAAGCAAAGAGUUAAUCUUCGACAUAGUCCCAUUUUGCAGUGGCUACCAUGCACUGCUCGGGUGAAUCGCAUUCGCAAGAUUCAAUGCGGUACCACAUUAUGCAUAUCUCAAGCUCAAGAUGCCAGGACCUCGGGGGUUCAUCACAGUCAAUGGAAACACAGAGCGCUCUCUCCGCAUAGAGAGCACACUGCGGCCCUCGCAGCAGAAGCACAAAGCAGCCUCUUAAGGCAAUCCACUAGUUUGGCGAUUGAGAACCCGGACAACUUCAAGCGUGCCCAGAGUAAUCGGCAACUGAACCGCCUGGCAUGUUCCAAGCUCGCAUAGCAAUGCGCCCCCACCCCGGUCCCAGCCAAACAGCGAAAUUCGUGCCACGCGUACAUAAUUACGCAUUAAAAAUACCAUGGGCACAGGCGGGGAGGGGGGCACAACUACAGCAUGCCCCAAUACGCGGCUUAAACCGCACUAGGGGCUUCCCGCUUUGUUAUUUUUCUCUUUUCAGGACUUUAAUCUCUGAAAACCCUGUCCGGCAGCAUGAUUGCCGAACACAUUAUGCAGCAACCAAGGAGGCAGAAAGCUACGUCACACCACGGAACUCCCAGGUGGAUUACGAUAGCAAGUGAAAUAUUUUCUUUAAUACUAUUCCUUAACUUGCCCUUGGAAGGGAGAUGUCAAACAGCCCUACUUUUUGCUUGUCGCACUACUUGUAUCAUUCUGUUUUGACACACCUUUUUGAAUAAACAAUGCAUAGCAUUAAGACUAUUAUUGCAUUCUUCCUUUAUAUAUAUAUAUAUAUAUAUGUUCAUUCACGACAUCUAGCACCCGUACACUCUGGUACGGCCAAUACGCCAGGGGCUUAAGCAUACCCCAUAAUACGGCGUGAGAAGUCCGAACACUUUCGACAGUGCGGCACCCCGAACUUAUAGCAUUAUAUGCAUCAGCUCCGAAUCAUGUCUUGGGUCAAUAGUUGUGUUUGCCCGGCACCCAUGUUUUGGUACCUUACGUUCCGCUAUAUCGGCUAAGGUAGCACUGGGAGAACUACUGCGAUUGUGCCCAGGUUAUGCUGGGCUAAGCACCUUAGUAGAGAAAGAUAAAACUGACUGUCAUGAUAAGGCGAGAGACUGGUCGCUGUUUGAGAGGUUUCAAGUCCCUAAAGACUUAUGCCGCUUAGAGCGAGGAGUCGGCCCUGUCCGGCUUAAGGCAUGUAUCGCGCCCCGAAUUCGGCCUUCCGAAUACUAGGGGCUUUGCCGAAAUUUGAAAUUAUAGAAUUCUAUGGCUAAGUGAGAGUGAUAACGCAGUAUAGUCUGAUUGCCUUGUUCGUUGUGCUGAGCACCUCCCUCGAAGGACCCAACAAUGGGAACAAGAGUGCUCAGGUUUAUCCCGAACACCCCAGCACUCGUGGCGUGGGGGCAGAAGACGACGACUAGCCAUCUCUCAGAUUUGAUAAAUGGCCGAACAGAAGGCAAUAUUUUAAAUUCAAACAAGUGUUGCAUAGCACAUAUGAACAAGUUUUCAUAAUACAGGAUUACACGAGCAAGUUUACUCAAAUAUUACAUCUUUCGUACACUCGUCCGCUACGAGACGGGCACCCUUUAGGACACCCUCAUAGUACAUCUCGGGGUGGCGAUGCUCCUUGCCCUCUGGCAGCCCUUCCUUCACCAGCUUCACGGCGUCCAUCUUGGCCCAUUGCACCUUCACACGGGCGAAAGCCCGACGUGCACCUUCGAUGCAGACAGACUGCUUGAUGACUUCCUGCCGUGGACAGGCAUCAAUAAGCCACCUCACCAGGCCAAAGUAGCUAUUGGGAAGGGCGUCGCCAGGCCACAUCCGGACUAUAAAGCCCUUCAUGGCCUGUUUGGCCGCCUUGUGCAGCUCGACCAGUUGCUUCAGCUGGUCGCUCAGAGGCAUCGGGUGUUCGGUCCCAGUAUACUGAGACCAGAACAACUUCUCCGUUGAGCUUCCCUCCUCGGCCUGGUAAAACUGUGCGGCAUCCGACACGCUGCGGGGCAAAUCUGCGAAUGCUCCUAGAGAGCUCUGGAUUCGGGUAAGUAACAAGUAAUUUACUUUCACAUGCUUGCUUUGCAUAUAGAAUGCCUUACCCGCCGCUAUCUUCUUCAUCGCAUCAAUCUCCUGGAGGGCCUUUUGGGCUUCGGCCUUGGCAUUCUUUGUGCUCUCGAGGGCCGCGGCAAGCUCGGACUCUCGCAUCUUCAAGUCAAGCUCCAACACCUCGUGCUUCGUCACGAGAGCGUGGAGCUCUUGCUGCACCUCGCCCACCCGAGCCUCCUGCCUUUCCCACUCGGUGCGCUCUUUGGAUGCUUUGUUUUCGGCCUCGGAUAGCGCUUGCUUCAGGGUCACCACCUCGGUCGUGGCCCCUGGCAAAUUUAUGAUGGUCCUGUCAUUUUGCAAUCGCAUUCUUUUUAUAUAUAUCCAUAGACUAGGUACUACUUACCUUUGUUCUCCUCGAGCUGCCUCUUGGCAAGGCCGAGCUCUUCCUUGGACCCUUUGAGGUCCUGCUUCAGUGUGGCAACCUCCGCAGUCAGUGCGGCAGAGGCCAGCAGUGAAGCCUGCAUACGCAUAUAGACAUACUUAUAUUAGACUCCUGUGAUAUUGUUUGAUCCUCUAUUCGGCUUUUCUUUGUGAACACCGAACAGAGCGUUAGGGGCUAUUGUCUAUGCGGUAAUAUUUUUCCUAUAUUUCAAAAACCUAUCUCAAAGCUUGUUAGAAGGCUGGCAUAGGCUUCAGUUAGUCCACUCUUGGCGGACUGAACCUUCUGGACCACCGCGCUCAUAAUAGUGCGGUGCUCUUCGUCGAUGGAAGCGCUGUGAAGCGCUCCCAGCAGAUUGUUCGGUGCCUCUGGAUGGACAGAGGUCACCGGCACAUGCGUCUUGCCCCUUUUGGAAGGAGGCCGCCUGCCCGAGUCCGGAACCACAGGGGGUUCCGGCGCGGUGUUCGACUGAGGGCCAAACUCGGAACCCUCGGGAGCCUUGCUCCCUCUGCUCCCGGAGUCCGAAAGGUCGCCUUGAGGCGCCUCCGUGAUUGUCUCCCCUCGACCCGGUGCCUCUUGAGACAAUACCUCGGUGUUGUCCAUAGGGCAAGGGGAGGUGGCAGUCGGAAGUGGAUCGCUAUCCAUAUCCGACGAGCCCAGGGAGCCGUUCGACGAGGAUACGUCGAUACGGGCUCGUGGCGGUCUACAUAGUCAUAAUUCGGCGUUAGGAGAAGCAGUGCGACAAAGGCAUGCUAUGAGUUACUCUAGUAUCCGAAUACUUACGACUUCGCCAGGGGCUUGGCCCUGAGCAGCCACUCGUCUUCGCCUUCAGCGGCGGUGGUGGAAUAGUCCGGAAGGAGGGUCCUGCCCUUCUUCGACCCUUUGCCCCCCCUGGUUGGGGUGGCCUUCCUUUUCUUAUCUCCCCCGACUAAAGGGCGAGCAUCUUCAUCUUCCUCCUCGUCUUCGGGGGAGGAGUGUGUCGCGGAGUUAUCGGACGAUGAGCCCGAUAACACCUGGCGUCAGGAACUCUUUCGGGUUCCCUUGGCCUUCUUGGUCUUCUCCGGCACCUUGUAAGGAGCCGAAGUCAGCAUCUCCGCCAGGAGAGUGUCCCCAGUGUCUUCAGGCAGAGGGGACGGACUGUUAAUCUGCCCCGACGUCUCCACCCAGUCCUGUCAAAGGCAUGGAGCUCAGACCCCGCACAUGGUUAAGCUAGGGGAAAUAAAUAUCCUACUGGAUGUAUAGAACUCACCGAAUGUUCUCGGCGCUUCGCGCUUAGCCCGCGGUCCUCGGUGAGAGAGGGAGGGACCUCGACGCCCUAGUACAGCACCCUCCAGACGUCCUUGUGCGUCGUGUCGAAGAGAUUGCUCAGAGUCUGGUGCUGGGUCAGGUCGAACUCCCACAAGUUGAAAUCCCGUUGUUGACACGGGAGGAUCCGGCGGAUGAGCAUGACCUGGACUAUGUUGACAAGCUUGAGCUUCUUGCUUGCCAUAUUCUGGAUACAUUUCCAGAGUCCGUCCAGCUCCACCGAUGAACCCCAGGAUAGGCCCUUCUCUUUCUAGGAGGUGAGCCGCGUGAGGAUUCCGGAUCGAAACUCGGGGGCCGCCACCCAGUUGGUGUCACGCGGCUCGGUGAUGUAGAACCACGCCGAUUGCCACCCCUUUAUGGUCUCCACGAAGGAGCCUUCAAGCCAUAUAACAUUGGGCAUCUUGCCCACCAUGGCUCCGCUACAUUCUGCUUGUUGGCCUCCCACCACCUUUGUCUUGAUAUUGAAGGUCUUCAGCCACAGGCCGAAGUGGGGCCGGAUGCGGAGGAAAGCCUCACACACAAUGAUGAACGCCGAAAUGUUGAGGAUGAAGUUCGGGGCCAGAUCAUGAAAGGCCAGCCCAUAGUAGAACAUGAUACUGCGGACGAAUGGAUGGAGGGGAAACCCCAGUCCGCAGAGGAAGUGGUGGAGGAAAACUACCCUCUCGUGAGGUUUCGGGGUAGGGACGAUCUGCCCCGCAGCGGGCAGCCGAUGCACGAUAUUCGCGGCUAGGUAUCCGGCCCCGCGCAGCUUUUUGAUGUGUCCCUCCGUGAUGGAGGAUGCCAUACACUUGCCUCCCGCUCCGGACAUGUUUGGAGAAGGUUGAGGAGAAGGAUGUGGACUUGGGCGUUGGAGCUCGAGUGCGCAAGAAUGGAUGAGCAAGGAGGAAGAAGGCGUGGGUAGAAAAAGGUUAAAUCUUAUCCCUUUAUAAGGGCGGCCGAAACUAUGCACCCCCACUAGCCUGGUAAAACUCGCUUAUCCCCCAAGCGCCGUAAUUGAUGGCGCGGUUGGGUUACCCACGCCCGUAUUGAUGAGAAUCCCGUAAUAAGGGGGACACGGUCUCUACUUUGACAAGACGUGUCAAGGAACUGCCUCACGUUAUGUGCGGGGCUAGUUAAAGGAAACAGUUUGAAUAAUCACCGGGCCAUGGCAUAAUGUCAUGUUGCCAAAACAUGUCAGCAGAUUAGAUUUGUGGAAAUAUUAUUCUCUCUAUGGUGGUAUGUGGAACUUAUUUUGCAGGGUCGGACACUAUCCUUGUAUUCAAAUUCUUCCGUGGUGUAUUCGGAGAAGGAACCCGCCUUGCAAUGUCGAAGACAACACUGCGCGCCGGACUCAUCGUCAUUGAAGCCUGGUUUAGGGGCUACUGAGGGAGUCCUGGAUUAGGGGGUCUCUGGACAGCCGGACUAUAUCCUUUGACCGGACUGUUGGACUAUCAAGAUACAAGAUUGAAGACUUCGUCUCGUGUCCGGAUAGGACUCUACUUGGCGUGGAAGGCAAGCUAGGCAAUACGGAUAUGUAUAUCUCGUCCUUUGUAACCGACCUUGUGUAACCCUAGCCCCCUCCGGUGUCUAUAUAAAUCGGAGGGUUUUAGUCCAUAGGACAACAUACAAUCAUACCAUAGGCUAGCUUCUAGGGUUUAGCCUCUCAGGUCUCGUGGUAGAUCAACUCUUGUAAUACUCAUAUCAUCAAGAAUAGAUCAAGCAGGACGUAGGGUUUUACCUCCAUCAAGAGGGCCCGAACCUGGGUAAAACAUUGUGUCCCCUGCCUCCUGUUACCAUCCGCCUUAGACGCACAGUUCGGGACCCCCUACCCGAGAUCCGCCGGUUUUGACACCGACAGACAACCUUUCUUGAUUGCGCUGGCUUGAUGAAGACUAGUAGAUUGCUCCCCCAUACUCCGCUAUGGGUGAGCCACUCUUCGGCACACCUUCACAGGUCCAUCGUCACCACAAUGGAUGACAAGCUUCAAGCAUGAUCUCUUUGUGAUUCUCCACUUGAACUUGCACACCGCAAACUUGAUCACUAUCACCACUUGAUGUCAUCCUCCAUGUGUUUUUUUUGACCUGGAAGACUGCAGAGCUUACACCCCAUAGAAUUUUAUUAGAAAAAAACAAGGUACAAAUACAAGGUUCCUCAAGAGGAGGAACAAAGACACAGAAUAAAACUAUACAGGAAAGGCUAUAUAAAUCUAAAAAGAAAGGAGAGGCACUAAAAUCUACAACUAGGAAAGAAAGAAGAUACAUAUAAGAUGGCCCUCAAGGGGGCAAGAAAUCAAUCCAUUAGAGUAGAGCUUCCUUGUAUCUGGUCUUGAUCCGGUGUGAAAGAAGAGUAAUAUUGUGAACAAACCCAUUUCUCCACUGCCUAAAAGUUGGUUUGACAUGUCUAAAAGCCCUGUCGUUCCAAACUUUCCAAAUAUUACACCAUGUAAGAAAUACCACCUCUGAGAAAAAAUGCUUAUUAAACUCCUUUCUGGCAUGUAAGGCAAUUUGCACCAUAUCGUUGCUAUCCAACCAGGAAACCUGUAGAUAGUUCCAGAUUCUCAUACUGAAGUUACAUUGGAAGAACAGAUGGUUCCUAUCCUCAAUUACUCCAGUCAGGCAUAGGACACAACUAGGUCCAUCAUGAAUUUUCCAAUGGCAUCGUUGAAUCAUAUCCUUAGUGUUAACUCUAUCCAUAAUUACCAGCCAGGCAAACGUUUUAAUUGUCAUGGUAUGGCAACUCUUCCAAACCCAGCUCAGAAUGGGAUUCGCAGGAACAGGCUGAUGGGCAAAAUCAUAGUACUUUUUUGCUGAGUACUUUGCCUUUUUCCAUGCCUCCAAGUCCAGAUAUCAUUACAACCAUUGUCCAAGGAGGUCACAGCUAACAAGCUUGAUAACUGAUUGAACUCCCUAAAAGCCAGUUCAGACAAUGGUAAAGAAAACAUUUGCUGUAAAUUUCCUGCCUGUACCACUUCCAUGACAGAGAGGUUCUUCUGCAAGCAAAAAGAGAAAGUCCUUAGAAACCUUUCUUGCAGAGGAAUGCAAGACUGGUCAAUCUCCCAAUGAUCAGACCAAAAUAGCACAGAAUCUCCUCUGCCAAUAGUGACAGAGGUAACAGCCCUAAACUUAUCCAUUAAUUUGCAAAUGUCCCUCCACCAGAAAGAGCCACAUAGAGUAGUGUCAUGAGGAAUUCUCUGAAAGUAGUAUGAAUCCCACACCAAACGAACCCAUGGCACAUCUGCUUUAUUAUAGAACUUAUUCAGGUACUUAAGAAGCAGUGCAUCAUUCUGUAGUCCCGGAUUCAAAAUUCCAAGCCCCCCCCCCUUCAUCUUAGGCCUGCAGACAAGGGGCCAAGCAGCCAAAGAGUGCCCCUUCUCUUGACCAUAUUUCCUCCAGAGGCACUAUCUCUGAAUCCUUUCUAACUGCUUUAGAAUACCUGGUGGCAAAGAUAGACUACAAAGGAAGAAAAUAGGCAGUGAAGAUACCACUGAAUUUACCAGUUGCAACCUACCGCCUUGUGGUAAAAACCAAGAGCUAGCAGUUAGCCUUCUUUCCAUGCAGUCCACCAAAGGUAGAAAAUCAACAAUUUUGGGCCGAGUGGUUCCAACAGGAAGUCCCAAAUAAGUGAAGGGCAUUGAACCUAGCUGGCAACCAAACUAAGCAGCAAGUGCAGCGGCAAUAGAGGCUUCCACAUUGAUUGGGUACAUUGAAGAUUUGUGGAAGUUAAUUUGCAGUCCAGUUGCCAAAGAAAAGGAGUUGAGCACUGAUUUGAGGACCUCCAACUGAGCUGAGUCAGCAUUCACAAACAACAAAGUAUCAUCAGCAUACUGCACCACUUGAUAAUCAGGAUCAUGUGUUGGCAAUGGAAAGGUUAGUUGACCCUUGCACAAAAGAGCAUUGAUCAUGGUCUGCAAAAGAUCAGCAGCAAUCACAAAAAGCAAAGGAGAGAUAGGAUCUCCUUGCUAUACACCACAUUUGCACUUGAAAUGUUUUCCAGGCACAUUUAACAGGAUAGAUGAGGUUGCCGAAGAUAGUAGCUGUUGAACCCAGGUGAUCCGUUUGCUAUCAAAACCUUUUGCCACAAGAAUUUUCAAAAUUGCCUCAUGCUGAAUAGAGUCAAAGGCUUUUUCAAAGUCAAGCUUGAGCAAUAUGAUUGGCUUCUUUGAGUGGUUGCAUUGAUGAAUAUACUCAAAAGUCCAAGCAAUACAAUCAUGAAUUGUUCUUGAUUUAAUGAAGCCAUACUGAUUCUUAUGAACACAGUUGGUGAUUUCCUCUUGAAACCUAUUAGCUACCAGUUUAGUCAGAAAUUUCAGUCCCACACUUGUCAAGGAGAUUGGCCUAAAAUCUCCUACACCCUCAGGUGUUUGCUUUUUUGGGAUUAAAGUAAUGAAAGCUUCAUUGAGAUUUUACAAAAGAGCAGUUCCUGCAUGAAAUUCCUUCACCAACCUAAUGAAAUCACUGGAUAUGAUAGACCAGCAUUUUUUUAUAAAAAGGCCAUUAAAACCAUCUGGCCCUGGUGCCUUAUCAAUGAGCAUUUCUUUGAUUACCUUUUCAAUUUCUUGUAGCUGAAAUGGUUUUGUGAGCACCUCAAGAUCCUGCACUUUUGGGAUAAGUGAGAGAAUGUCAUUGCCCAAUAGAAUUGGCUUAACAGUUCCCAUUCUGCCCUUGAAAGCAUCCAAAAAUUCCUUAACUAUUUCCCCAUGAUCUGAAGAAACUGUUCCAUCAGAUAGUUGCAGCCUAGCAAUAGAAUUCUUCCUAUACCUCUCUCUUGCCAUGGCCUGGAAGAAUUUUGAAUUUUCUUUUCCCACCUUAAUAUACCUGAUAGUGCACCUUUUCCUCCAGUAUAAAAACUACAAGUGUAAAAGGUGCUCAUGAUGCAUCUUAACUAUCUUCCUGAAGUUGUAUUCAGGUAUGGAUAGAGGCCUCCAAUCCUCCAAAUCAUCCAGCCACAGAAUUACCCAAUUGCACUUUUCAAUCAAUGAUUUGAUAUGUGAUAGCCCCUUCUGCCAUUUUUUGAGUGCAAACCUCAAGGAUUUCAAUUUGUCCAUAAUAACUGCAGUUAUAUGAAUCUUAUAUGAAGGUUUGUUCCAAACCUCACCUACACAGUCCAUGAACCCAGGUUGAUGCACCCAAUAGUUUUCAAAUCUAAAGAUAUGAGCUUUUGGAAUUGAGGUGCAGAUAGAUAUUACACAAGGAAAAUGAUCAUAUGUAGUUCUAGCAAGAGGUGCAACUUGUGUCAUGGGAUACUGAUUUAUCCAACUGGCAGAAGUAAAAAACCAGUCCAAUUGCUCAAGAAGUGGAACAUCCUGCAUGUUUGACUAGGUGAAUCUUCUACCUUUUAAAGGAAGUUCCAGCAAUCCUAAGUGACCAAUGAUCUCAUUAAAGAUAAAAAUGUCAUUAACAUCCCCAACAGGAAGAUUACGAUUGUCCAUGGACCUAAUGAAAUUAAAAUCUCCCAAUAACAACCAUUUUUGCUCGGGUUCCACCUGAAGAUUGUAUAGCUAGUUAACAAACUCAUCCCUCAUUAUACCCUCACAAGGCCCAUAAACAUUUACUAAAAACCAUUGGUCACUAUUAUGCACCAAAGUGAAACUGAUGACAAUUCCAAAAGGCUUUACUUCAAUUAAGACACCCUUAAAAACAUCUGAACGCCACACUGUCAGAAUACCUCCCGAGGCUCCUCCCGAGGGUGAUUCAAUGAACUGGUCAAAACCCACAGGGUAAAUGCUCUUAAUUAAUGAAUGAGGAUAAUCUGAUAACUUAGUUUCUUGCAAACAAGCAACCGCACACUAACUUUCAGUAAUUUUCUUUCUAACGGAACGCUGUCAUGUUUCAGAGUUGAGACCACAAACAUUCCAACAAAGCACCUUCCAGUUAUGCAUAGACAUUUGAUUCAUGAGAUAACCAAAAGCAAAGUAGCAAAAACUGCAUGACAUACAAUGACAUACACCCCACGUCAUAGGAAACAAAAUGCAUCCAGUUCUGACCACACAACAUAAAGUUUAGCACAACAUAAACGACAGCAAAUUUAACAGGCUCGCUACACCUAGAUAAAGUUUGAAAAUGCAACAUUUAAACACCACUAGAGGAGGAGGAGUCUUUGGGAUUAGCCAUAAGCUUAUCCUUGGAUAGCAGGUUCGGGUCGAUCUCCAGCUCUGCUCCAAUUGUUUGCAGCACGUUGGGAGGCGUGGAUGGAGGGACAUCUUCAGACUUGCCAUUAUCAGCGUCGUCAGGAUUGGACUGGGCCUUCACUUGAAUGGGCUUGGACCGGGGACGCCUUUUAGUGGGAUGGAGGGAAAGUUGUUCAAAACUCACAGGCUUGAACCCAUCCAGUUUUGCCGCGCUUCUCGUACAUCUCCGUACAGAAGUAUCCACUAAAGGAGCCACGGUCUUCCUUCCUCUUGUCUGUUUCUUCUCCUUGGCCUGCGCAGAAGAAAAAACCACAAAAGAGGAAAAAGAGUUCUCCUCUAGGCUGCUAGACACAAUAUCUUCAGAGAACUCCUGUCCAGCCAUGGCAAAUUCAGACACUGCAUUAUCAUUUGCAUUGGCAACCUCAUCAGGUGAACCUCCAAAAAGAGCUCUGACAACUGGGCGUUUAGCCACAAUAGAUUUCCUUAGAGCAAGGUUGCUGGGCAAGCUUGGCACCAAUGAAGACAUCAUCUGAGAAUCAUCAAAGGCAAUGGUCCACGUGCGCUUGGAGUAUGUCACUGUCCCAAGUGGCUUAAAGAAGAUAGGUCUAGGCACCUCCGUGACAGCAAAUUCAGGUAGCAGAUUUUCAAACGAUCUCUUCCAGAUCAUCUCUAGAGGAAGCGGUGGCCCAGCCACAAUCCUUGCCAUGCCAAUGAAGAUCUGAUGCUGCUGAAUGACAGGAGGUUGAUAUGGUACAAUUGCCAAAGGAUUUCCCAAAACUGUCGGCUGCUCAUUGUCCUGUAACUGUUGGUCAAGCUGAAACUGAAGUUGCUCCUCAAACUGAACCUCCACAUGUUGUUCAACAGACCCAGAACCCUCAGGCUGAUCAAUCACAAUAGAGACCUGAUCCUGCUCUCACACCACAGGCUGUGGCGGCUGCUGAAGCUCAUCCCCAUUGUCCCCCCAGUUGGCAUUUCCCCAUCCAGCAUCCCUAAUGUUAUUUUCCGGAGGCAAUGAAGGGGCUACAGGUGCAUCGUUCCAUCCCAGCAUUGGAUAUGGUGGAAGAACAAACAUCAGAUUGUCUUGCAGCAGGUUUCCAGGCAAUGGGUGAGGAUUACCAUCCAGAGGCAUUGGAUCUUCAUCAUUUGGCAUCUGGUCAGCGAAGUCAGCGUCCAAUACAUAGCAAGCAGCGGUCCACGAGACCUGAGCUCCUCCCCAUUCUGCAUAGUCUCCAAAGACCACAUCACGUGGCACCAAAGGUGUGUCCGGAAAACUUGCCUCUACUAAAGUAUGAACCAAAUAUGGAUCCUCACUAUCCCAAGAGUGAAAUUUCCUAAAGGUGCCUACCGCCUGUGAUAUGAACUCCGUAUUGUGAUAGUCAAGAGGAAUACCAAUGAACAUGAGCCAACCCUUACGGAACCCAUGAUUCCCCUUAAAAUUCUCUCCCUCAUCAUGCUUCAUAAAUCUAACAAAACGAUCAUCACCCAUAGGAAAUGGGGCAUGCUGAAUCAACGUAUAUCUGACAGAUGGAUCCCUGACUUGAAAUAACCCAACCCCAUGGAACCAAGGUUGAGCAGAGCGAACCAGAGUACCUCUGUUCUGAAGGAACUAAACAAUCUCUUCCCUGACCGGCCCGAGCGGUCCCUCCGGAGCAGGCAUGACCUCAGCGACCAUGUAAUCCUCAUGGCGGCGAGGAGGACGAGCCGCAGGCAUGAUGAAGGUGCGUGGAAGCCGCCUGUCCCCACCAUCAAUGAUGUGAUGGCCUACCGGCAGGAAGCGCUGUGGAUCAAGCUCAAAGUUUGCCAUGGUCGAAAGCUGUGGGGAGGGGAUGGGGUUUUCUUUGGGAAGAAGAGGGGGAUUGGCACAAUGUGGGCAGCGAUGAUGUGACUGGGCAAGCUAUCCCUAUAACUCCGGCACCGUUCCCUGGUCGGCAGGGUUUUCCGAUAUACUCGUGCUUUGUUACGGAGAAAUUGGUCUCCAAGCCAAUCCAUUGGUGCGCGUGAAAUCAUUACAAUCCUUGCUAGAGUGACCCAUGCGUGAGCAAGCCGAGCAGACCGCUCGCAUUCCAGAAGAGGCUGGAAGGUGGCCCCUAUGAGAACACAAGGUACGGGUUAAAAUACGGUCCACCAUGUCAUUGACCAUAGCUUCAAAUUGUUGUGCGGCUUCUUGCGUGGUGGGUAUUUCCUGCGGAGGGGUUGGUGGGCUUGGGUCAGUAGGUGCAUCCAGCAUCUCAGAAACUGGGGUAUUCUGAGAUGAGGCAGGCCCAAUAACAACCGAACCAGGGACUGGCCAAACAGAAAAAUCUUGAGACACUGGACCAGAUUGGAGUGCCUCCGAAUGUGAUGGGCCAGAUCCCAAGCUAUCAUUUUGAACUGGAGAAAUUCCCGCUUUAGCAAAUUGUGCAGCAAGAUUACCAGAAACCACGGGCCUCGGAUCCAUAGGUACCAGAUCCAGUGUGGGCGACGUGGUCGACCGGUGCAACUCCGGUAACGGCUCAACAGUACCAAACACGAUAGGUGGCCGAGCCACCGUCCAAUGCAAGUCAAGGGGGGAACUUGUCGAAUAAUAACACGCUCAUGAGCAGAUAGAUCAUAUCCCCCAUCCAUAAUAGUAUCAAUGCAAUUUUGAGAAGCAGGAUAUCUAUAACCUUUGCAAGCAGAAUACUGUUCAAACGUGGCAAAAGACAAUUUCUUCCGAACAGUGGUAGCUGACUUUAGAGAAUAUCUAACCGGAGGCUUAUGCAUGGCCAAUAGACCUAAAGAAGAUCUACGUUUAGUAGGACUAAUCAGAAUCCACUCAGCAUCGCAUUCCUUACGCCAGAUCUUAAGUUCCUGAACCCAAUUAGGCCCUCCAUUGCCCCAAAGAUUGAAAUAACAUUUGAACAGAUCACAAGCAAAUGAACGCAUAUCCAUACUAAUAAAGCCAACUUGCUUGCAUGAGACUUGGAAAGAAAAAAACUUGUCUUUGACAUUAAGAACCCGAAGAUCGAUGGCCGAUCUACCAAUCGCAGUCUCUAGAGCUGCCGCCACCGAAUCCUCCGACAACCAGAAAGCAUGGCGGCUGUAAGUGCAUCUAGUGCCACCCCUAGUUGGUUUUGGAGUAUUGACGACAAACCUAGUUGAGGGACUAAUGUGUUUGUGAGAAUUGCAGGAUAACACAGGUAGAAGUCCCUCAUUGAUUCAGUUUUCCUACCAGAGAUGACCCCUAAAAAUGUAAGAAGACAUUGAAGACAAAGGUGGUAUGUGAAGACAUUCACAUUGAAGACUAUGACAAGAGAAGACAUCGCAUGAAGACUAUGGAGCGCGAAGACUUAGUUCUUUCGUCAUUCUUUUUCUUCUUUGUUGAGUCAUAGGAACCACCGUACUGUUAAGUGGGGUCCAAGAGAACCAGUCAGAAUGACUGAAGUGAUGCUUAACCAAAAUCCUAUGUCUUCGAGUGAAGACUAUGAGAGCAAAUCUUGUCCAGAGUUGGAUAAGUCAGCUUUGCUUGUAGCCCAAGUAAAGUUGACGUGUGUGUUUGAAAUCUGACCGUUGGAACACGUGUCAGUUCCUUAGUGACCCAGGGUCAUUUCGGACAAAUCAGGUCGGGUUGCCUAGUGGCUACAAAUAGCCCACCCCCUACAACCAUAAACGGCUGGCUUCUCAGAGUUAGAGUAUGGCUUUUGUCGUUUGAGAGCAACCCACCUCGAAGCCUUUGAGGGAGAAUUCCUUGCGAGGAUAAAGCCCUAAACACCCAGAGCCAAAGAGUGUUAGGCAUCACUUAAGUCUUCCUGUCCAUGUGAUCUGAAGACUUAUUACACUUGAGGACUGUGAAUCCUCCAGCCGGUUAGGCGUCGCGUUCUGAGCAUCCAAGAGUCAUUGUGGAUCGCCGGUGAACGAAGUCUGUGAAGGUUUGGAAGUCUACCUUGAAGACUUACCAGAGUGAUUGGGCGAGGACUGGGUGUCCUUAGCUCAAGGGGAAUAAGGUGAAGACGAGGUCUUCUGAGUUGAAUCUCAGCCUCCCUAACCAGACGUACAGUUGUCACAACAACUAGAACUGGUCCAACAAAUCAUUGUCUUCAACAAGUCACUGGUUUCAUCCUUCCCUUCCCUUUGCUUACUGUUGGUCCUUGUGAAGUCAUUGUAUGAUUGCAUUAUCUUUUAUCUUCAGUGAGUUACUACUUGUUCUGAUUGGCUUCACAAUAUCUUCCUACCUGAUCUUUACUGCCUAGCUGCUAUUAGUCAUUAUGCUUUCACUUCAUUGAAUACUUGACUAUGGUUUGCCUAGUGUAGUCUACCUUCCGCUGUAUGGUAAUAGGUUUAUUUCUAUCGUUUGUCUUCAAAACUUCCAUGUUUUGAAGACUUUCAUAAAAAUCACCUAUUCACCCCCCCCCCCUCUAGUCGAUCACUAGCACUUUCAAUUGGUAUCAGAGCAAGGUACUCCCUUGUUCUAUGUGAUUCGGUUUAACCACCUGGAGUUUUAGCUAUGUCGACUGCAGGGAUAAUUAAGGUCUCCACUGCUUGCCCCGUCUUCGAUGGAACUGAAUAUCCCUACUGGAAGAAUAAGAUGCGCAUGCAUCUUGAAGCCAUUGAUGUCGACCUAUGGUAUGUCGUCAAGAAUGGCGUUCCCAAGGCUGGUGAAGGUGUCACCGCUGCUGAUGUCAAGAAGUUCGUUCAACUGGACUCCACUGCCAAGAACAUCAUCUGUGGUCAUCUGACCAAAGGACAGUAUGGCUUCAUGAGUGCUUUGGAAACAUCUAAGCUAGUCUGGGACUGGCUCUCCAAGGUCAAUGAAGGCGUCUCAAUCCAAAGAGAUCAGAGAAUCAGUGUCCUUCGCAACCUCUUCAACCGCUUCAAGAGAAAUGACAAUGAGAACGUCCAGCUCACGUUUGAUUGACUCACUGACAUCACAAAUGAGCUUCAAGCUCUCGGCGCCACUGAGAUCACCAAGCAUGAAGUCGUCAAGACACUCCUGAGAUCACUUGAUAGCUCGUUUGACACCCUAGCCCUGAUGAUUCAAGAACGUCCUAAUUUCAAGACACUCGAUCUGUCUGACAUACUUGAGAGGCUCAACACACAUGAGUUUCAGCUUUCUGAGAAAAGAGACAUCUACGGUCCCAACUAUGGGCGAACUCGUGCCUUGAAGGCAAAAGUUGUCUCCUCAUCUGAAGAAGAAUCUGACAGCAGUUCUGAUGAUCCUGAAGACAUUGGAAAGGAGCUUGCUAUGCUUGUGAAGAAGUUCCAAAAAUUCACCAAGAAGAAAGGCUUAAGAAAGUCUUCACGAUCAAGCUCAAGGAAUGAUGAAGCUUCUGCUCAUGACUACAAGAAGAGAACAUGCCACAAGUGCAAGAAACCUGGCCACUACAUCUCUGAGUGUCCGCAGUGGGACAAUGAGAACAAGAAGAAGAAGAAGAGCAAGGAAUAUGACUCUGACGACAAGAAGAAGAAGAAAUACUCAAAGUCUUCUUCCAAGUUUUUCUCAAAGUCUUCAUCACACAACAAGAGCUCAUCUGGCAAGGCACGUGCGUUUGUUGGCAAGGAAAUGGAUUCAGAGGAGGAGUCCGCUUCUGAGGAGGCGGAGGUGGAGUCUGAGGAGGAGUCCGAUUCUGGCAUUGCAAGUGUGGCUACAGCAUACGUUGCCAAGUCCAUCUUCAACACUGAAGACAAUGACUUCAUCACCGACACCGAUGCAAAUGACAAGGACUACUCCGCUCCUACCUACUGCUUCAUGGCACGCGGUGCCAAGGUAAACACACGCACUACUCACUAUCAAACAUCUAGUGAAGAUGACUCUGAUUGUGGUUCAAAACCCAGCUACAAAACACUUGCUAAAAUUGCAACUGAACAACAAAAAGCUAUGGAACCUGAAUGGAUUCAAGCUAUGCAAGAAGAGCUUCAACAGUUUGAGCUGAAUAAUGUAUGGGAACUGGUUAAGCGUCCUGAUCCUCGCAAGCACAAUAUAAUAGGCACCAAAUGGAUAUAUCACAACAAGCAAGAUGAGUAUGGUCAAGUUGUUAGAAACAAAGCUUGUCUUGUUGCUCAAGGGUACACUCAAGUUGAAGGGAUUGACUUCGAUGAAACAUUUGCUCCUGUGGCUAGACUUGAAGCCAUACGCAUACUGCUGGCCUAUGCAAAUCAUCAUAACAUUCCUCUCUAUCAAAUGGAUGUGAAGAGCGCUUUUCUCGAUGGCAAGAUUGACGAAGAAGUGUAUGUUGCACAACCGCCUGGCUUUGAAGAUCCAAAACAUCCUGACAUGGUGUACAAGGUCAACAAGGCGCUGUAUGGCCUCAAACAAGCCCCUCGGGCUUGGUAUGACACACUCAAAUACUUCCUGAAGAGCAAAGGCUUCAAACCUGGUUCCCUCGACCCCACUCUCUUCACGAAGACAUAUGAUGGUGAACUGUUUGUGUGCCAAAUAUAUGUGGAUGACAUUAUCUUCGGCUGCACCAAUCAUAAAUACACAGAUGAGUUUGGAUAUAUGAUGCAAGAGCAAUAUCAGAUGUCCAUGAUGGGUGAGUUGAAGUUCUUCCUUGGUCUUCAAAUACGUCAGCAACGCAACGGCAUCUUCAUAUCUCAAGAGAAGUACCUUAAAGAUUGCCUGAAGAAAUUUGGGAUGCAAGACUGCAAAGGCUUCACGACUCCAAUGCCAGGCAAACAUCAUCUGGGUCCCGACGACAAUGGUAAAGAGUUCGAUCAAAAGGUAUACCGCUCCAUGAUUGGUUCUUUACUUUAUCUAUGUGCAUCUAGGCCAGAUAUUAUGCUUAGUGUUUGCAUGUGUGCUCGAUUUCAAGCGGCACCAAAGGAAUCGCAUCACUUAGCUGUGAAGCGAAUUCUUCGAUAUUUGGCUCACACCCCAACAUUAGGAUUAUGGUAUCAAAAGGGCUCAGAGUUUGAUCUGGUUGGAUUCUCGGAUGCUGAUUAUGCUGGUGACAAGGUGGAUCGCAAGUCUACAUCAGGCACAUGUCAUUUUCUGGGACGAUCACUUGUAUGUUGGUCUUUAAAGAAGCAGAACUGUGUAUCUCUCUCCACUGCUGAAUCUGAAUACAUUGCUGCUGGAUCUUGCUGCGCUCAGCUACUAUGGAUGAAGCAAACACUCAAAGAUUAUGGCAUUCAUCUGAAGCAAGUGCCACUCUACUGCGACAACGAAAGCGCUAUCAAGAUUGCCAACAACCUAGUUCAGCACUCGAAGACAAAGCACAUUGAAAUUCGUCAUCACUUUCUCAGAGAUCAUGUUGUGCAGGAAGAUAUUGAUAUCAUACACGUCAACACUGAAGAGCAAUUGGCAGAUAUCUUCACCAAGCCCUUGGUUGAGAAGAGGUUUUGCAAGUUACGGUGUGAGCUAAAUAUCUUGGAAUCCUCAAAUGUUCUGUGAUCGGGCACACAUCCUAACACUUAUGCAUAUUGAUGACUUAGAUGUGCAACACACGAAGUAAAGUAUAUCUUCAAUCAAUGAAGACUUACAUUCUAAGUGUGAAUACAUUAAUGUGGAACUUGACUUCGGAGCGCCACGAUAAUUGUGCGCCGUGUCUGAGUCUAAUACUUCCUAUACGGUGGGUAACGCCACCACCAAAAUUUUCUGUUUGAAGUGUUUCACUCAUGGCGUUACGUUUGGUAUGUCUUCACAUUUGGUUUGGCUUCAAUAUCAACUUUUCUUCAUGAUCAUCUUCACUAUGUUGAUUUUAUUGUCUUUCUCAUCUAUAUAUAUAUACACUAGUGUUCUGUCCUCUACAACAUUCACUUAUAGCUAUGUCUUCUUGUUGAAUCUUUUGAACUAAGUGAAUGUGAUCAGACCCUAACCUCUCUAUGCUUUCUAUAUCAAACUCUAUCUCUCCAAAUCAUAUGCAUUCUAUUGAAACUGUCGAAUAUCUUCUCUGCGUCCUUGUCAGCAGAAGAUACAGAGACAAACAUUAAGUCCGUUUUCAAUGCUAAUUCCUUCACCUGAAACCCGAAGAAGUGGGAACGACCACCCGACAAUCCAGGCGUGCGUGGGAACGUGGAACAACCUCCGAUAAGUUGCAUGAUGGCCACGUGUCCUUCAGAUGUGAAUCGCCAGGGGCACCUGUGUAAUAACACUGUGCCGUCCCUGUCUCUAUAAAUACACGCCUCACCACAGUCAUUAUCCUUUCUUCCACUCUCGCAUGAACCCUAGCGCCACCGCUCGCCCUCGACGACACCAGCGACGAAGCUCUUAGUUGCCGCGACCUCACCGACGUCGUCUUCGCGCCGGCCGCGGACAUCGUCUUGCCGUCGCCGUAGGAGUCCUCCGUCGCCAAGUUAGGGCACGGACGAUCGAUCUGCUCGGCCUCCUCUCCCACUCCGUCUAGCAGUUCUUCAUGUGGUAAAUAAAACUUCCUUUUUACGGCCCCUUUGAUUCUAUAGAUCCAUCACUUUCUACCACAAGCAGUUUCUGUUCACACAAGUUGGAUCUAUUUCAUACUGCAUCUCAUAAUAUUCCUAGUAUGUUCACUUAUGCUUCACAAAGUAGUUAGAUUCCUCACUUGUACUUAUUCAUGGAUUCGUACAAAUCUGGAACCAACUCUCUAUCUAUGAGUGAAUGUCUUCGCACUAUGAGGUCAAUGUCUUCUAAACUGAUUUAUCUUCAAAAUCUUCUGAGAAUGCAUAUGACCUCUUCCCCUUCCUUCGCACCUUAAUUCUGUCAUAGGUACAUGUCCGUGGGAGAAUCCCUUGGUUCUCAUAGUCUGCAUUCAUUUGCAGAAUUCUUACAACAUCAUAUAAAUUCUCCCGAAGCCAGUUCUUGUUUGACCAGCAAGUGGAAGCCUUUGAAACCUUUGAACAUGUUGAAGCCAUUCAGUUUGAAGAUCAUGGCUACAGAGAAAUCAGCAAGGAAGGGUGGCCGACAGCGUCGAGGGGGAACAUCAAGAGAUCUGCCUGAUGACCUCUCAGAGCUGUACAAGACAGACCCAGAAGAGGAUUACAAUCAGCGCAAGACAUGAAUCCAAUGGAUUCGAAGGUACUGGGCUGAGCAAUGGUUCAAGUACAGGUUUGUGACCCAGGAAUAUGCAGAGAAGAAUGCCAUCAAGCGACCAUGGGGAGACAUCCUAUACAGAAAUCUUCAACCCAGGCCCAGAGAUGAAGCCGUUGAACAAGACUUCUAUCCCUGCAUGGUCCAUGGACCACAGCCUGCAGAUGCUGAUCCAUCAUCAUUGCUAUGGUGUCGUGAUGACAAUCUGUUCAAGCGCAACUUCCAGUUUGCCAAGAACUUGGCUAAGCAAAACAAGAAGACAUUGGGACUAGACUUCAACCCUGGUCCUUCUGCUCCCUGUGCCGAUGGCACCCGCGAAGCUGAACCCAAUCUUGUUGGGGCCUUCUACAACCUGGAAGGUCUCAUCACUCAUAUCAUGGUUCAAGGGACAGCCGUGGAUGAGCCUGCAGAUGACGCUAAAUCUGAUGAAGCGCCUGCAUCGCCGAAGCCAAAGAAACUGAAGAAGCCUAAAGCUUCAAAGCCUGCUCCUGCACCAAAGGUCUUACAUGCGAAGCCACUGGCUACUGCACCUCCUGAAGACAGUGUGCAGUCUGAAGAUCUAUCACGUAUCUCCAAGAAGACUGAGAUGAGAAAGAGUACUGAUCAGGCACUGACUGAUGCUGCUAUUCUGCGCAAUGACGCCAUUGAUCUUUCCAGUGAUAAAGAUCUUGUAGAUGACGCUCUUGAGCAACUAAUCAAAAGCAAGGAAGAAGCAGAGAUCUUCAAUGAUUUGCCUCUCUUUGAUGUGGCAAUCCUCCAUAACUUCAUUGAUGAGUGGUUUGACACGCCCAACCUCAUCUUUGAAGAUCUGCAACUUCCAAUUGGCCUUAGUGUCGCCUUCCAUGGCGCCAUUGCUUCUGAGCUAUCUCUAGCUCAGCGCAUCGUUGAACUGAAGCAAAAGAUCGACUAUGAGAAAGAUCAGUUCAAUAAGCACAUGACCAAGCUCAGCGUGCAAGAUGUGAAAAACUUCAAGAUUAUGCUGCACGAGCUCAAGGAUUUUUUCUCAAAAAGCGUGAAGAAGCUCAAGGUUCUCGUGAACGCAUGAAGAGCCUGGCUGACAAGUGUGUGCAAGCCUACAAUGAGGCUGAGAAGCGCAAGGCUCUUGGUCGUCCUGGCAUCGACCCAAGAAUGGCUGCAAAGAAGAAGAAGCCCUCAACUGACCAAUCUGCACCUUCAAGGCAGGAAGAACCUCGCAUAGUCUUCCCAAGCAGCAUGACUGGCUCGAAGCCAAAGGUCAGGUCAACCGCUUCAGAACUGAAGAAGACGAGGACUGUCGAGGCUGAAGCCAGAAAAAGGAAAAAUCCUGAAGCUUCUGAUGUCGCUCCCUCUAAGAAGAAGCGCAAAACCAAGAAGGAUCGGGCUGCUCCCAUAGAGCCCUUAGUUGUUGAACCUAUCUCAAUGGUUCGCCCUGCAUCUGAACACCACGAGCGCCAACUGAUUGUUCAUGAGCCUGCUUCCACAGAGGCUCCUGAUGCUGAAGACAUUCCAGCAGUUGACCCCACCGCUACUGAAGACAUUGGUCACCAUGACAAUGUUGAAGAUGAUGAAGUCCUUCCUCAGAUCGAGCACCAACUGGUAUCAUCGCAUGUGCUUACACACAGCGAACUCGUCAGCAUUGGUCGUCCUCUGACGCCAACUGCUCAGGAUGCAUCAUGGGCUGAUCACCCACAGAGACAAGACACUCCAAGCUCUCCCCAAGCAACCCCAUCAGUGCAAGAAGAGGAUGACUUUGAGGCCCAGCCAACUUCAUCUCCACAGGCGUCGCCAGCGCUACGCAGGCUUCGCAAAGGACCAAGGUCUAGUCCCUCUUCCAAGCGUUCCAGAAGGAGAAGUGCACCACCAAUUUAUUGCACGUCAAGUGUUUCCAGAUGCCACUCCUACUGUGACUGUCUCUGAGUCUGAAGCCAAAGGUGCUGAAGACAAUCCGGCUGCAUCAGCCGAUGACAAACAAGAAGAAGAUCGUGUCCCUACACCCCCAAACUCUGAAGAAGUUGUUCCUGAAGUGAACGUGUCUGUGCCCGACCCUCCAGCUCAUCAAGUGGAGGUUGAGAAUCUUGAGGCUGCCACCACCAACACAAAUGAAGUCAAUGACAUAGUCAUGGCUGAAGCAAAUGUGGAGCCUGCACCAACCAAUGUGCCAGAGGCCAAUGAAGGCAAUGAUGCAACUGCAACAGAUGUGCAGCCUGACGCCUCUGUUGAUGCCACUGCUCCUGUUCCACCACCAAGGCCACACACUAUCGAGCAAGCAUUCAACUAUGGCCAACUUGUCACUGUCAAAUGGCCUUUUCUGACUCCUCCACCUACUGCUGGUCCUCAGUUUGACUAUCACAUUGAGCACAGGCCUCAGGUUCAGAAGCCAAUACCAAGGUUGCCCAGGUUUCUAGGCACUGCAUCUGCACCUGGAUCGUUCAAUAUCAAUGGCUUCAAGGCACACAACACCUUCUUUAAUAGCGCCAAGAACCCCUACACCAAGGCAAGAAUAUCUUCUGAUCGGUUCUGGAGUUAUCAGCAGCGCAGUUAUUACUCAUGCAUUCUGUACAAUCAAGGUCGCAUUUUCCCACAUAUGCGUCUUGACACUGAAGCCAUAACUGGACUACCCUGUUUGGAAGAAGCUCUGGAUUGCUUCAGAGAGUCAGGCUUGCUGCAGUUCGUCACUGAUAAGGAGCACUGGAAUGAAGAAUUGAUGCUCCAAUUCUAUGCCACUCUUCAUAUUCAUGGCUACAACAGGGAUCCGAAGACUUGGGUCCUUGAGUGGAUGACAGGCAAUGUUCAUCAUGAAGCCAAAGCCUUUGAUAUCAUUGAGCUUAUUGGCCUGCCCACUCCAGGAGAUUUGUGUGAACCUGGUUGUCAGCUUCACAGUGCUGCUAUGGAAAGCAUCUUCCACAAGCCUGAGCCUAAUAUGAGUCAGAUGCUUAGCAUGAUGAAGCCUUUGCCUCCAGAUGCUGAAUAUCCUAAGGAGUUCUAUGUUGAAGACCUUGAGUAUCUGCCACGUACUAUCUAUCACAUCAUAAGGCGAACUCUCUGGCCCAUCAAAGGACAUUCUCCACAUGCCAAGCUAGAAGGCGCAAUGAAGACGUUGGUCUUUCAUAUUCUUCAUGGCAAAAGCUUCAAUGCACAAGACUUCUUUAUUCGCCAGCUUGCUGCAUCAGGAUCUAACAUUUUUGGCUUGAAGUUUUACGCUCCAUGGAUAAUGUGACUGAUCAAACUACACUCAGCUGUCACCUAUCAGCCCUCUGCUCGCAAUCAUCGGAUCUUUCUGCCUGACGUCGAUAUGUCAGUUGAAGUCAUCUAUCCAGAGCCUGCCAAGGAGCCUCUUAGUCUUCAGAAUGCUGAGAAUCAAAGCUUCUCUCAAAACAUUGAAGGAGUUCAAGCAGUCUCUCGUGUUUAUCCUCUGGCUGGCACUACACGUGCACCUCACCGUGCCCUCACUGAAGCCACUGACAGCACCAUUGCCCAACGGCCCAAGAAGCGAUCCUGUAUUCUCAAUGACCGAGAGCUUCUGGUUGCCCUUCAUCAGAAACAGGAUAGGCAUCAUGACUGGCUGAAGCGCCAAAUGCAAAGCCUCUUGGUGGAUGUAAACAGGAUUCGCAAUCUUGCCACCAAGAAUGCCUUUGUUUCCCAUGAAACCUGUCGGCGUACAUGGAAAGGCCUGACGCUUAUGUGCUCUGAGAAUGAUCUUCAAGAGGAUGGCUUCUCUGAACGCUUCAAGUUUGACUCAACACCUCCAAGAAGGAUUGUGCUGCGAUGAACUCCAUCUCUUGAAGACUCUGAGUUCUCUUCCUACGCGGCAACUGUGAAUGCCAAAGUGAUCGAUGACGAAGACGAUGCUACUUCACUGCCCCCUACUUCUGCACGCAUUGACACUGCCCCGAGUUCGUCUGCACCGCCUAACAACACCGACGACCUUGCUGCUUCACCUACUCCUCAUGGGAAUGAGUAGAUGCUCUAUGUCUUCAAACCUUUUUGGUCCUUACUGACAAAAGGGGGAGAAGCAUAUGAGUUUGAUAGUCUUCAAGCGGGUCCAUAUGGGCGGUUGCUUUAUAUUUUGCCUAGUGUUUACAACUCUCGUUUUGAUACAUUUGGUUCUUUGAGUUGUAACACUUAAACUCGAUGGUCGUCUGCUACUUAUUUGCUAUUUUGUGAUGCGAUGAUAAAUUCCGCAUGUGCGACGAUAAAUUCUGCACUUAGAUCCUUUUGCAGAUGUCCAUUUUUCAUUAUGCAUGUCAUUAUCUUCACAUACUUUUCAUGCAUGAUGAAUUGUCAUCAUAAGUUGAAGAGGAUCUCCACAAGUACAACCUGCCAUGUGCAUUUGCAUUCCAAAAGCAAAUUACUUAUAUGCACAUCUUCAGGGGGAGCCCGUGCAACUUAUGAAGACAAUCCCCUAUCCUUUACAAUUUCACAUAUUAUAUUCCCCGUUGAAAACUUCAACUAGUUUGUCAUCAAUCACCAAAAAGGGGGAGAUUGUAAGUGCAUCUAGUGCCACCCCUAGUUGGUUUCGGAGUAUUGACGACAAACCUAGUUGAGGGACUAAUGUGUUUGUGAGAAUUGCAGGAUAACACAAGUAGAAGUCCCUCAUUGAUUCGGUUUUCCUACCAGAGAUGACCCCUAAAAAUGUAAGAAGACAUUGAAGACAAAGAUGGUAUGUGAAGACAUUCACAUUGAAGACUAUGACAAGAGAAGACAUCGUAUGAAGACUAUGGAGCGCGAAGACUUAGUUCUUUCGUCGUUCUUUUUCUUCUUUGUUGAGUCAUAGGAACUACCGUACUAUUAAGUGGGGUCCAAGAGAACCAGUCAGAAUGACUGAAGUGAUGCUUAACCAAAAUCCUAUGUCUUCGAGUGAAGACUAUGAGAGCAAAUCUUGUCCAGAGUUGGAUAAGUCAGCUUUACUUGUAGCCCAAGUAAAGUUGCUGUGUGUGUUUGAAAUCUGACCGUUGGAACACGUGUCAGUUCCUUAGUGACCCAGGGUCAUUUCGGACAAAUCAGGUCGGGUUGCCUAGUGGCUAUAAAUAGCCCACCCCCUACAACCAUAAACGGCUGGCUGCUCAGAGUUAGAGUACGGCUUUUGUCGUUUGAGAGCACCCCACCUCGAAGCCUUUGAGAGAGAAUUCCUUGCGAGGAUAAAGCCCUAAACACCCAGAGCCAAAGAGUGUUAGGCAUCACUUAAAUCUUCCUGUCUGUGUGAUCUGAAGACUUAUUACACUUGAGGACUGUGAAUCCUCCAGCCGGUUAGGCGUCGCGUUCUAAGCAUCCAAGAGUCAUUGCGGAUCGCCGGUGAACAAAGUCUGUGAAGGUUUGGAAGUCUACCUUGAAGACUUACCAGAGUGAUUGGGCGAGGACUGGGUGUCCUUAGCUCAAGGGGAAUAAGGUGAAGACGAGGUCUUCUGAGUUGAAUCUCAGCCUCCCUAACCAGACGUACAGUUGUCACAGCAACUGGAACUGGUCCAACAAAUCAUUGUCUUCAACAAGUCACUGGUUUCAUCCUUCCCUUCCCUUUGCUUACUGUUGGUCCUUGUGAAGUCAUUGUAUGAUUGCAUUAUCUUUUGUCUUCACUGAGUGACGACUUGUUCUGAUUGGCUUCACAAUAUCUUCCUACCUGAUCUUUACUGCCUAGCUGCUAUUAGUCAUUAUGCUUUCACUUCAUUGAAUACUUGACUAUGGUUUGCCUAGUGUAGUCUACCUUUCGCUGUAUGGUAAUAGGUUUAUUUCUAUCGUUUGUCUUUGAAACUUCCAUGUUUUGAAGACUUUCAUAAAAAUUGCCUAUUCACCCUCCCCCCUCUAGUCGAUCACUAGCACUUUCAGCGGCUAAAGGACACAAUCAAUGUGAAAUCCCUCCUUCAUCACAUUGGAUGGAUCGUUUGGCCGGUAGAUCUAAAAACCUCAUCAGAAAAAACCCUACCCUUGGAGAAGUCCAAGCCAAGGGUAGAUCCACCAUAGGAACCCAUAAGAGAUGGGUAUUGCCUUGAUCCAGAGGAGACGCCGGAGAGGAUGAUCGAAAGGGAUCCACAUAUUAGUGGAGGAGGAUGGCGAUCGCCGGUGGUGAGGUCAGCGCUGUGGUGGGAGGUGGGAACAUCAUGACUUCUCCUUUUGACAUCUUACUUCAUCCUCCAUGUGUUGUAUGAGAUUUUACUCUUGACGCAAGCUCAUGGAAACAAACCUAACCCCACAUAUAACUCUUAUGUAGACCAUGGGUUAGUACACAAAGCGUAAUGGAUAGUGCUUACCAUACCUCUCGGUACAUCUUGUACGCUUUGUGUGUUGAUCAACUAGAUUCACUCUUUGACUUAGUCUUGAUCAACCUUGUAUCAUGUCUUCUCUAUGACCAAUCUUUGAAUAAUUCCUUGAAUAGCACCUUGGUCAUCACAUAUUCUCCUUGAAACCAACAAAUGGACUUCAAGAAAUGUCUAUGGACAAACCCUUCAAAUAUAGCUUAAGGUAACCAUUAGCCCAUAGAGAUUGUCAUGAAUUACCAAAACCAAACAUAGGGGCACCAUGCUCUUUCGCUAGGCUUCUAAUUAUGAGGACAAGAGUAUUAGCCAAGCUCUAAUUAGUAAACUAGGACCAACUAUAACAUGAACUAGAAGACCUAGAGGUUAGAGGGGAGAGGGAGGGCUGCCACCAAGGAGGGAAACACUCCUUGGGGCGUCCAGCCAAGGGGAGGAGGAGUUGGACUCCUCCCCCACUCCUAUUCACCCUUCUUCCUUAGGGAAGGGGCGCCUCUCCCCACUUGGGCCCUUGUGGCCCAAGUUGCUUUCCACCUCUUGGCCUUUUUAGGCCCGUUGAUAUUAAAUGAAAUAUAAAAUUGACCUAAAUAAUUUCAUACCAUUUUAUAUAUAAUUCAACAUUCCGGAAACAUUUUCCACCUAUAUAUCAUUUAUCGGUAAUACCUGGUAUUACUCGAUAUUCAACGGAACCCUUUCGGUGACCUCGAAACACUUCCGGGUCCUCUUGGAACUACUUUGAAUAUUGAUGUAACAAUUCCACAAAUAUAUUCUCAUCACUCCCAUCCUACUAAAACUCAGCAGAUCAUGAUUGCCUUAAGCUUGUGACCCCGUAGGUUCGGUAACUCAUAGACAUGAAUGAAACCCCUUCGUUCAAUGACCGGCAGCGGUGCUGUGGACGUUCGUAUCAGUGCAUGUGAGCACAUGAAUAAUAUUAGAGUGAACCUUAGACUAUCAUGUGAUGUUCCCUUUCUUCGCGAUACUUUACAAAACCUACUGUGCAUCAGUAUCCUGCUGAGUCAUCACCAUGCUCACUAUACCGUUGCUCCCGUUAGUGGUUCUGUUCUUCUUUUUCGUUGACGUGUUUUGGCAUCCCCGUGAUGUAGUCACAUGUGUCUGGCGAGACGAUGAUGGAUGUUGUCACACCGAGAGGACCCUAAGAAUAUCUCUCUGUCGUCGUAGGAGCAAAUACCACUCUCGAGCUAUUUGGCCACUUGCCAAACUUUCCGAUGAACCUGUAAAUUGUUGUUAUGAUCACCGUGUUACGGGUGACGUUGGAGCAACCCCAAAGCCCACUGUACGGUAGGAAGUGACCACGAUACUUUCAUGGUCUAAGGAGAAAUAUCACACGUUAACACUUCGUGUUAUUACAAUUGAAUGCAGACGAUAUUAACUCAAUUCAUAACAAACAAGAUUGGGUCGAUUCAAUAUGGUCGUUCUUCCAAUGUCAUAAUCUCAAUGUUGUUUUAGGACUAUCAUUACAAUUAACGGUAUCCUAAACCCGCAAAAUGUGAUCACUAACAAUAAUUGAGCUAGUCUUAGAGGCGUGACUAGGAACCUUUUAUUUACUGUUUAUCAUUCCACACGUGCAUAUGAGUUUUCCACUAAAUCGUAUAUUCCAGGAUCAUAGCAGUUAUAGCAUAGAAUAUAAACUCUUAACUAUGAAUAUGGAAAUAUAAUACUUCAUCCGUCCCAAAAUAAGUGUCUCAACUUUAUACUAACUUUAGUACAAAGUUGUACUAGAGUCAAGACAAUUAUUUUGAGACAAAGGGAGUAAUACAAAUAUUAUUACCUCUAGGGCAUAUUUUCAACAGUUAGUCCCAAAAAAAUAUAAUAUUACAUAUAAAACAUCCAAGAUUGAUACUAUAAUAUCAUGGAACAAUCAAAAAUUAUAGGUACAUUGGAGAAGUAUCAGGUUUGCGGGAGUCCGGACACCCGAAACGUAGGACUCCGACACCCCGGCCCACCCAAUCCCCCCUCCUAGUCUCAUUUCCUUCCACUCCGCCCCUUCUCCCCUUACUUUGCAUCUGCACCCUCCACCUCCACCGUCGUUGUUGUUCGUCUCCGGCCGCCACAGAGGCAUUGCCGGACGUCCGCAACCAGCACCGACGCGCCCGCUCACCGUUCCGAUGGAGCUUUCAGCCUAGGAGCCGUUUGUACCCAGGUACACUCCACCCCUGUCGACGACCUCCAUGGCAGACACCACGCCUAGCAGGUGUUCGGUCAAAUGUCAUUGAGCUUAUUUUCAAAUGCUAUGUUGUUUUUAGAGUACGAAGGAUGGUGAGCUACUCGACCAUGGGGGAUGAGUUGCUGUGCAAUGCGUGGCUGGCCGUAUCCACUGAUUUCAUAGUCAGGACCAGGGAGCCGUCCUUCUGGGAGCAGGUGCAUGAAAAGUUUCACGCAGAAAAGCACAUUGCACCCUACGACGUGUACAUUAUGCGACCAUGCAAUGUGAGGUCGUUGUUGUAUCGCUGGCACGCUAUCCAGGUCAACGUCAUCAAGUACUGCAACUUGAUCAGUCAGCUCGAGGCAAGGUGGCCAUUACACACGGGCAUGGAGGAGACGGUAAGUUUUGCUUCCUUUUGCUAUACUUGUUGAUUGAUUCAUUCACUCAAUAUUGGUCUACAUAUUAUAUGUAGCCCGCACGAGCCGUCGUGUUGUACCACAGGUCAGCGGGACGUCCAUUUACGUGCACACACUGCUGGAUGAAGCUGAAGGAAAAGUAUGUGUGGGAGGACAUGAUCUGUUCCUGAAAAACUUGUCGUACAUCCAGGAUCUAAUCGAAUUUGAGAUCUUGUUGUACUAGACUUAAUUUGCAUGCUAUGGGUGGAUGAUUUGUGUUAUUUUUUAUCCGGACUUUGAUGAAUAUCGACCAAUUUGAAUGAAUUUCAUUCCGUUAGUUAAAAUGCGGUCUGAAAUGUAUGCGGCUAGCGUUGGAUGGCUUUCUCCCACAUCCGUGUCCGCGGACUGGUGUCCCAUUGUCCACGAACGGAUGCGGAAGGUUUUUUACGGGUUGCCAUUGGAGAUGCCCUAAACGUGUGUGCACAUCCACGUGUUGUACUUUGUUUGUCUGAAAAUAUACAAAAUGCCUUGACGCGCGAGAUGAUCGGAUACUCGCGAGGGGAAAGUGGAAAACGGACUCCACUCCGCUGUCACACCAGCAACGUGGGGUUCCCAGGCUUUCAAAUCCCAGAUUUGUUGGCUCCCGCCCUCCGGCGAAAAAGAAGGAGCCGCUCCUCAACAACAACAACAAACUAGUACAAGCAGUACAGAGGACGAGGAUUUUUAAGUGGCUGGAAGCCAGCACGGGGGCAGAGGCGAUCAUGAAGGCGAGAAUGUGGAACAGGAGGCAGGAGGGGACACCCCCCAUGUGGGACGGAGAUGACCCGAGAUGAAAUACGCCCUAGAUAAAUAAACUACAGGGCCAGCCAGUGCCCUUGUCCGGGUCUCUCUCUCCCUCUCUCUCAGACUUCUGUAAGUAUUUCAUUUUUUAAACGCAGAUAAAAACAGCCCCUCCCCCAUUUAAAAAUCCGAGGUGGUAGUAGGGCACACCAUAUGAUGGCGCUGGUAGGACAUGCAUUAUGCAGUCGGUAGAUGAGGGGGGUUGAUAAAAAAACUCAGCAGCAGAAUUGUCUCUACUGUGAGUGACAAGCAAGCUCCACACUGACCGCACGCAGUAAUGCAGCAAAGGUAAACGGAAAUCAGAAGCCACAUGAAACUCGAUCUGAAUUUCGAGUGGCAGAACGGAUCAGUUUCCGCACAAACCCAAGCGAAAACAGAGAAUCCAAUGUCCGAGACAGGACCUAAACCUAACCUUUUUAGGUGUGUUCCGGUCUCAAGAAACCUUUUAAGAUUUUGCAGGCAGAUAUGAGUAGAUGGCUUGUGUGGACGGCAACAUACGUCACGCAUCGCCGGCAUGGCCGGUUGGCCAAGUAAAAUACGAACGCCAUCAUCAGGGCACCACGCCGAUGAGAUAUACUAAGAAAAAAAAUCAAGGGUCUCCUCCUUCUUUUCAGUUCAAAACCAGGCCCAUCUUGAAAUAAACACCAACCAACCAAGGCGCCAGCACACAGCAUACACACCCCAUCGCGGCACAUUCUCAGGAAAUUACGGUAGGCGUGUGUGUGUUGUUUCGUGCUUGCCAUGUCCUGUUGGCGCCAAGUCUAUUGUGGAAACAUAACAGAAUGACCAAAUUUUGCUCAUCACCUUGUUUGCACUCUGUGCUUGGCACAUUAGCAAAUCGAGUGCCACUGUCUAUUCCUAGAGAUACUUCACAUUCUUCUUCCUUCUCUCAGUAGCUACGCUACUUGGAAACCAAGCCUUGGCAUGGAAGUUGGAACCACGCCACAUGAUGAGAAUUAGUCAAAAGUUCAGACUAGGGAGUAGCAGACAUAAACAGACUAAUAAAUACCGAGAGGAAGUUCAAUUUGAAGAUAUAACCAGUAGUGGUAAUCCAUUGUUGACAUGAAAUCCAUAUCUGUGCUGGUGCCUCUGCCGACCAUAUUAGGGCUCCAUUGAUUCAAAGAAUUUUCAUAAGAAUUUUGGAGGAUUAGAAUCCUUAGGGAAAAAAAAUCUAUGUUGGUUGUUUGAUUCAUAGGAUUGAAUCCUUGUACUACUUCCCAUAGGAUUUGCAGCAUCCACCCAAUGCAAUCAAACAGUCAAAAAUCCUGUAGGAUUGGAUGAGCAUGACAUUUUAAUCCUAUGUUUUUCCUAUUCCAACGUUUUCAGAAUCCUGCGAAUCAAAGAGGCCCUAUUCUAUAGCAAGUACAGGUCAUCAUAUAGACAAGGUACUAAUGUGAAUUAUCAGAUGGACAUCAAUGGGACCCCUAGUCCCCAAAUUUCAGUUCAGUUAGUUCUCUUUUUCUUUUCUCUUAUAAAGAUUCUGCUCUGUUGUCUCUAAACAUCUAGGCAAAAUACACUAUGGCAAGAUCUGUCCCUAAGCUUUAUGUCAUAUAUUCUAGUCCUACAGAAGUUCAACCCCAAAUAAUACCACUAAGACUAUUUAAACAUUGCUAAAAUAAACAGUUCAACUCAACAACAUAAAGUGCACAAUUAAGUUGCACCAGGAAUAACCAAGGUAAGCAACAUGAGCAAAUAUCAAUACUGUACCAUAGAACAGUUCCACUGGUUAAAAUUAUCCUCUCGGCUCACAAGCAAUCCUUGAAAUGACAUGAUAAAUGCUAAAUGAGCAGAGUGUGAACAUCGUGGUAAGAACCUAGAGCAACAUCAUUACACUAUUAGAGUUACCGACACAAAUGUUGCUAAAUCCACUAGUCCUAGCUAAAUAAGUUGCGAUGAAAAGCGAUACGGGGUGUCCAACAACCAAGAUAGUAGUUUCCUUCGCAACAUUUU
RNAcentral lists this long non-coding RNA (36214 nucleotides) under Triticum aestivum (bread wheat). RNAcentral describes it as "long non-coding RNA (TAES_LNC010543)". Lineage: Eukaryota; Viridiplantae; Streptophyta; Magnoliopsida; Poales; Poaceae. The record is from RNAcentral.